This is a long non-coding RNA of Condylura cristata (star-nosed mole), 1466 nucleotides long. RefSeq lists it as uncharacterized. The transcript has 3 exons. The record is from RefSeq and is a predicted model, not a curated record. Lineage: Eukaryota; Metazoa; Chordata; Mammalia; Eulipotyphla; Talpidae.
GGGAACAAUCUCCUUGACGCUGUCACCUCCAGAGACCCUAGAGAAUAACAGUCUCUGCUGUCUGGCAAUUGCAGAAAUGCUUGCCGAGGCCUGCAAGCCUCUGUCACUCAUCCUGACUGUGACUGAGAAGGCAGAACACCACCGCUCAGAGCGGCUGCCGUAGCCCCUCAUCACCGCCUUAUUCUGGUUGGAACAGAAGGCUUCUCUUGUUCCCCCAUUUAUUUGUGAGUAUCCCCAAUCGACCCCUCCCUGCACUACCAAGGCAUUGAAGAGGGAGGACCCAUUAGUGAACGCUGGAUUUUCCACAAGCCAGGCCAGGGGUCGCACGUGCCCCCUUCCUGUUCCUCCUGCCCUCUCAGGAUCUGAGCCACUGGCAAGAGAUGAAGCAGGAGCUGGGAAGAGCCAUCCCCUUCCCCCAGGAUGGCCUGAUUCAAGCCUUUCUUCUGCCAAGGUCACAGGUGGGGUGUUUAUUCGUGUGUUUAUUUCAUGUCCCAGUCAGGAACCCCUCCCGUAGGGCAAAGCAGGAUCGUCCUUGGGCAUGGUGGAAAGGGGUUCUGUUCUUGCCCACUGCCCUAGCUUCCAGCCUAACAGCCUGGAGUCCUGCUCUUGGGGUCUUGCCCUUGAGAUUAGCUAGGACCCUGUUUUUUCCUUUUUUGGGAAUAUAAUCCCUGACCUCCAAAAGAACAGUCUUUCCUCUUAAGAGCAAGCCUUUGCUUAGCACCGGCUGUGUGCCCACGCCACGCCCACCCCCAGAGACUCUGUGGCAGACAGAAGCGUCCUGGCCCCAAGCUGCUCAGCACCUAGCCAGGCACUGACACUCAGCACAUCUGGAGAGGGGUUGCUGCCCAGCAGCCUGUGGGCCAGGUGUUUGUGCUUUCUUGGGCCCAGAACUGCUUCUUUGAUGGGUAGGAAAGGUGGGGAGUUGUGCCCUGCAGCUGACAACCCAAGCAGAGUGGGGAGCCCCUGACACACUAGUUGACAAGCUGCGCUCUUACCCCCUGGGGUGUUACUGCCAACCAUCCCCCACCCAAGUUCUGGUAGAAAUAAGAGUAGGCUAAGCAGAACCUCCUCUCUGGAAAAUGAUGAGCUCAGCAAGCCUUUUGUCUCUCAGACCACAACUGUAAGGUACCCAGAAAAAGGAGAAGACUUCGUCAAUUUGGUUCACUUAGCAGGAAGAAUCUUCCCCAUCAGGGUCCACAGAGGAGGAAAUCCUAGAAGGGGUGCUUGGUGAGCCUGGGAACUGAUGCUGUGGUGGGUCUGUGCUGCUCCCUGCUGGGCACAGGCAGCAUGACAGCCAAGGGGAAGCAUGGCCGGUGAUGGAAUCACAGCGGCAGUGGCAUUUCUGGACUGUUGUCACCGUGUCACCUCCAAUGGAGGGAUUGUGCAGCCCGUGAGUACACGCAGAGCUCAGGUGACUUGUUCCUCUGAAAUCUCUUCUCUCUCCCUUCUUGUUCACCAUGACUCAG